Molecule: unclassified non-coding RNA, 221 nt
Filed under: uncultured Actinomycetes bacterium
Lineage: Bacteria; Bacillati; Actinomycetota; Actinomycetes
Description: uncultured actinobacterium contains 16S-23S intergenic spacer region
Source: RNAcentral
UCCGAGUUGUCCCCGGCAGUCCUCUUAGAGUCCCCGGCAUUACCCGCUGGCAACUAAGAGCAGGGGUUGCGCUCGUUGCGGCAUUUAAGCCAACACCUCACGGCACGAGCUGACGACAGCCAUGCAGCACCUGUGCUAGCCCCUUACGGACACGGGCUUUCACCCGCUUUAACUAGCAUGUCAAACCCAGGUAAGGUGGGGAUGACGUAGACGUCAUAACC